CAAUAGCGUAUAUUAAAGUUGUUGCAGUUAAAAAGCUCGUAGUUGGAUUUGUGGCGUACGGUGUGUUCCGGGCACUUGUUGUCUGAGUAACCUGCUGUUGCCAUCCUUGGGUGGAACCUGUGUGGCAUUAGGUUGUCGUGCAGGGGAUGCCCAUCAUUUACUGUGAAAAAAUUAGAGUGUUCAAAGCAGGCUUAUGCCGUUGAAUAUAUUAGCAUGGAAUAAUGAGAUAGGACUUCUUUGCUAUUUUGUUGGUUUGCGCAAAGAGGUAAUGAUUAAUAGGGACAGUUGGGGGUAUUCGUAUUCCAUUGUCAGAGGUGAAAUUCUUGGAUUUUUGGAAGACGAACUACUGCGAAAGCAUUUACCAAGGAUGUUUUCAUUAA
This 380-nucleotide ribosomal RNA is filed under the name uncultured eukaryote. Its description in RNAcentral is "partial 18S ribosomal RNA". It matches the Rfam family "Eukaryotic small subunit ribosomal RNA", at positions 592 to 976 of the family's 1831-position model. The record is from RNAcentral.